Pelecanus crispus (Dalmatian pelican) is the source of this 74-nucleotide non-coding RNA. The record is from Rfam. NCBI's taxonomy places the organism in Eukaryota, Metazoa, Chordata, Aves, Pelecaniformes, Pelecanidae.
GCCGGGUUAGCUCAGUUGGUUAGAACAUGGUGCUAAUACCGCCAAGUUCACAGGUUCAAUCCCUGCUUACUGCA